CACCUUAGAGUAUCAAGGGCACUCUUAAGAACCUCUAACUUUUGCGGGUAAGUUAGUACCUUAGAGUAUCAAGGAACUCUUAAAAACCUCUCUAAGUUUUAAGGCUAUUUCGCUUAGGAACCAGUCUUUUACGGGUAGACUCACACCUUAGAGUAUCAAGACACUCUUAAGAACCUCUAACUUUUACGGGUAAGUUAGUACCUUAGAGUAUCAAUGAACUCUUAAAAACCUCUCUAAGCUUUAAGGCUGCUUCGCUUAGGAACCAGCCUUUUACGGGUAGACUCACACCUUAGAGUAUCAAGGGCACUCUUAAGAACCUCUAACUUUUAUGGGUAAGUUAGUACCUUAGAGUAUUAAGAAACUCUUAAAAACCUCUGAAAUCUUUCAAGGUAGACUCGACCUAAGAGUUUUCCCGGAAACUCUAUAAAACUAAACUAGAGCUUUAUGGCUGAGCUCAAAAACCUUCUCUCACACUUUGGUACUAUUGAGACAACCCUCUCAACCAAAGUGGACACACACAAGAGGUGAUUAGAGGAGUGGAAUAUGAAAGCAAACAACACUUCUUACUUGUAAAGAUGAACAAGAAGAUUAGAAGAAGAAGUUGGAGAGCUUUUGAAGCUUUGGAAAGCUAGGACACUUGAGCACUUGAAUGCUUGGAAGCUUGAAGGCAAAAACGUGUGGGCAAGUGUGGAGUGAAAGCUCUUGAGUUUGCUUGUAGUGUGGUGAGUGAAAAUGAGGGGAUUACCCUUCUAUUUAUAGCCUUGGCCACUUAAUGUCCACCCUUGGAUCUUCAAUGGAUGGCUCCUUGAUUUCUCAUAUAAAUCCAAGCUUUGUCUUUGAUCUUAUCUUGGAUAGUGCUUUUCUUGGAUAGAGUUUGUUGGAGAAUCUUAUCUUUGUAUAAAUUCAAACUUGAAUAGUGUUUUGUCCCCUUGGAAUAUUAUACCUUGAAUAAAGUGUCAAAAGAUAAUAAUAAUAUUCAAGGUAAAAAUGCAAUUAUUCCAAAUAAUAAUAUUCAAGGUGAAAAUGCAAUUAUUCCAAAUAAUAAUAUUCAAGGUGAAAAUGCAAUUCUCCCUAUUUGACUUUUAACUUUGACUUAAACCCUUAACUCAAAUGAUUAAUUAAUUAACUAGAGUUAGGUUUAAUAUCGAUUGACUUAUUUACCCCCUAUUGAUUAAUAGUGUAAUUAGGGUUUAAAUUGACAUGAUUAAAAU
Molecule: long non-coding RNA, 1211 nt
Filed under: Zostera marina
Lineage: Eukaryota; Viridiplantae; Streptophyta; Magnoliopsida; Alismatales; Zosteraceae
Description: long non-coding RNA (ZMAR_LNC004223)
Source: RNAcentral